CAGCUCCAAUAGCGUAUAUUAAAGUUGUUGCAGUUAAAAAGCUCGUAGUUGGAUCUAGGGACGCGCAUUUCAAGCGCCCGUGUCGUCGGGUCAAACCGGCGACUGCGUUGGCGUUGCGGGCUCGGUCCGUCGGUGCCCCACAAAGGGCUACUGGCGUGUCAACCGGCCCGCCCGUCCCCUCCUUCUGGAUUCCCGUUCCUGCUAUUGAGUUAGUGGGGACGUCACAGGGGGUCAAACCGGCGGCGGUGGGUCCCUGGGGCCCAGAUCGUUUACCGUGAAAAAAAUUAGAGUGUUCAAAGCAGGCAGAUCCAAUUUUCUGCCACCGAAUACAUUAGCAUGGGAUAAUGGAAUAGGACCCUGUCCUCCUAUUUUCAGUUGGUUUUGGCAGCGCGAGGACUAGGGUAAUGAUUAAUAGGGAUAGUUGGGGGCAUUAAUAUUUAAUUGUCAGAGGUGAAAUUCUUGGAUUUAUGAAAGAUUAACUU
This 482-nucleotide ribosomal RNA is filed under the name Acanthamoeba sp. RNAcentral describes it as "SSU rRNA". It matches the Rfam family "Eukaryotic small subunit ribosomal RNA", at positions 586 to 942 of the family's 1831-position model. Lineage: Eukaryota; Discosea; Longamoebia; Acanthamoebidae. The record is from RNAcentral.